GGAGAGGUGGCCGAGUGGUUGAAGGCGCCGCUCUCGAAAAGCGGUAUCCCCUUUGGGGAUCGUGGGUUCGAAUCCCACCCUCUCCGCCA
Molecule: transfer RNA, 89 nt
Filed under: Dehalococcoidia bacterium
Lineage: Bacteria; Bacillati; Chloroflexota; Dehalococcoidia
Description: tRNA-Ser
Rfam family: tRNA
About the family: Transfer RNA (tRNA) molecules are approximately 80 nucleotides in length. Their secondary structure includes four short double-helical elements and three loops (D, anti-codon, and T loops).
Source: RNAcentral